UACGUAGGGUGCAAGCGUUAAUCGGAAUUACUGGGCGUAAAGCGUGCGCAGGCGGUUGUGCAAGACGGAUGUGAAAUCCCCGGGCUUAACCUGGGAAUUGCAUUCGUGACUGCACGGCUAGAGUGUGUCAGAGGGGGGUAGAAUUCCACGUGUAGCAGUGAAAUGCGUAGAUAUGUGGAGGAACACCGAUGGCGAAGGCAGCCCCCUGGGAUAACACUGACGCUCAUGCACGAAAGCGUGGGGAGCAAACAGG
RNAcentral lists this ribosomal RNA (253 nucleotides) under uncultured bacterium. Its description in RNAcentral is "partial 16S ribosomal RNA". It matches the Rfam family "Bacterial small subunit ribosomal RNA", at positions 524 to 776 of the family's 1533-position model. The record is from RNAcentral.